GGUCAACCUGACUUUAGAGCCAACGGCCUCCACUUUGUACCUGAUUCUUUUGACAUAAUAUCUGUGAAUGCACUGGAAGAACUACUGCACAAAUAUGUCAAAUGUUCCAAAAUGUUUGGAGAAAGAAGAUUCUUAAACUCACUCUAGAAUUUUAUUUGAGGACUAAUGUGCUAUCUUCAAUGGCAAGACCUAUGUUAGAAAUUAAUUUAUGAUGAAAAAUAACCCAAAGAUGCACAUAAGUUGGCUGUGUCUCAGCAUCAUAAUUUCAACUUUUUGGAGUAACAAUAGAAUUGAUGUUAAAGACAAAUCAUGGUG
This is a long non-coding RNA of Choloepus didactylus (southern two-toed sloth), 315 nucleotides long. RefSeq lists it as uncharacterized. The record is from RefSeq and is a predicted model, not a curated record. The transcript is spliced from 3 exons. Lineage: Eukaryota; Metazoa; Chordata; Mammalia; Pilosa; Megalonychidae.